This 253-nucleotide ribosomal RNA is filed under the name uncultured bacterium. Its description in RNAcentral is "partial 16S ribosomal RNA". It matches the Rfam family "Bacterial small subunit ribosomal RNA", at positions 524 to 776 of the family's 1533-position model. The record is from RNAcentral.
UACGGGGGGGGCAAGCGUUGUUCGGAAUUACUGGGCGUAAAGGGCUCGUAGGUGGCUAAUUAAGUCAGACGUGAAAUCCCUCGGCUUAACCGGGGAACUGCGUCUGAUACUGGAUGGCUUGAGAUUGGGAGAGGGAUGCGGAAUUCCAGGUGUAGCGGUGAAAUGCGUAGAUAUCUGGAGGAACACCGGUGGCGAAGGCGGCAUCCUGGACCAGCACUGACGCUGAGGAGCGAAAGCCAGGGGAGCAAACGGG